AUGAAAGUUACACUCCUUGACUUCUUGGCAUAUAUACAUACAUACAUACAUACAUACAUACCUACUUAUACAGAUGCACAUAGCACUUCACAUAAUUUGAAGUCAAUGAAUUCCAACUGUACUGUGCUAAUUUGGUUUUCUUCUUUUUGUAGAGCCUCUGAGAGAGGUGUCUCAGCCUCAAGUUGUAGAUGCCAGGAAAGAAUCUGUCCCCAUCACCUGGAACUCCCCAGCCCUUCAUGGAGGCUCCCCAGUGAAAGGUUACGUUAUAGAAAAAAGGAAGAAGGGCAGCAGUCUUUGUUUCCCAGUCACCGAAGAGCCUGUCCAAGGUACCAGAUUCAAAGAGGAUGGUUUUCUGGCGGAUACAGAAUGAGCUCCGUGUGAUAGCUGUCAACUAUGUAGGCCCUGGACUUCUCAGCAUGCCCUCAACCUCUCAUUGCGAAAGAACUCAUCAAUCAGUAUGUUUCUGUGACUAUUUAAUGUCUAGUUUUUCUAGUAUUUUCUAGUUUUCAUGUAUGCAAUGACCAGGUUUAUGCAUUUAUGACUGAAGUCUGAGGAACUGUGGCAAUCCAGCCUGGCUCAGUGUGGAGUGUAUUGUGUUUAUAGCUUAACUAAAGAUUAAGGAAGGCCUUAAUACUGUUGGCUAUAAAUGUAAUUAUAAAUGCCUGGAAGUAUGAUAUUAUUCACUGAAAACAUGUAACUGUUAACAUAAGAAUGUGGUAAGAGUUUCGCACCUGGGGGAAUUGAGUAUAUGCAAACAGCGAAGAUCAACAUGAUAAAGAUGCUCUGAGGUGUAGAUACCUUUAGUACUUAAUAGUCACAUACAGGUUGCCAAAGGUCCUAAUGUAUGGUAAAGAAACUUUCUCAUGCAUCCUACUAUGCUCUUUCAUCCGUCCCCCAUCACCUCUUUAAAAAAAAGAGAAGACUCUUGCAGAAUUUAUGAAAGUUGGUUACUUCCUUUUAUUUGAGUACUGGAUUUUUAGUCCAGGAAUCUUGUAAUGGACACACGAGUGGGCCUUAGUAGCUGCACAUAAUGUAUUAAAAACACAACAAAAACAGAACACCUGUCCAAGUGUGGAAGCUGAUAUAGCUGAAAAAUGAGAGAAUUCUAUGUAGUAGACAAGUGCCUUGAAGUUAAAUAGUUACUUGGAUGGUAAAGGGAUUCAGGUUCCUUUGCGUCAGAAGACACACAAAAGCAGUUUAAAGCCUGAAGCUAAGAUUCUUCAGUUGAAGAUCUGGAUUAUCUCACAUUAGGCCUAGGAUGAUAUAUACUGUCCAUAUCCAUCAUAUUCCUUAUGACCCUAUAUGCUCAUUUGAGUGUUCUGUAUGAAAGCAAUUAGAAUCAAGUUUGUCAAGGCAUGCUGCCCUGGCUAACUUUUUU
RNAcentral lists this long non-coding RNA (1378 nucleotides) under Amazona collaria (yellow-billed parrot). RNAcentral describes it as "lncRNA (ENSACOG00000007618.1)". The record is from RNAcentral. Lineage: Eukaryota; Metazoa; Chordata; Aves; Psittaciformes; Psittacidae.